This 429-nucleotide ribosomal RNA is filed under the name Verrucomicrobiota bacterium. RNAcentral's name for it is "Verrucomicrobia bacterium partial 16S ribosomal RNA". It matches the Rfam family "Bacterial small subunit ribosomal RNA", at positions 355 to 776 of the family's 1533-position model. Lineage: Bacteria; Pseudomonadati; Verrucomicrobiota. The record is from RNAcentral.
UAGGGAAUCUUCCGCAAUGGACGAAAGUCUGACGGAGCAACGCCGCGUGAGUGAAGAAGGAUUUCGGUUCGUAAAACUCUGUUGUUAGGGAAGAAAAAAUGUAUAGUAACUAUAUACAAAAGAGACGGUACCUAACCAGAAAGCCACGGCUAACUACGUGCCAGCAGCCGCGGUAAUACGUAGGUGGCAAGCGUUGUCCGGAAUUAUUGGGCGUAAAGCGCGCGCAGGUGGCUUAGAAAGUCUGAUGUGAAAGCCCACGGCUCAACCGUGGAGGGUCAUUGGAAACUAAUAAACUUGAGUGCAGGAGAGAAAAGUGGAAUUCCUAGUGUAGCGGUGAAAUGCGUAGAGAUUAGGAGGAACACCGGUGGCGAAAGCGGCUUUUUGGCCUGCAACUGACACUGAGGCGCGAAAGCGUGGGGAGCAAACAGG